Molecule: long non-coding RNA, 858 nt
Organism: Linepithema humile (Argentine ant)
Lineage: Eukaryota; Metazoa; Arthropoda; Insecta; Hymenoptera; Formicidae
Source: RefSeq, a predicted model, not a curated record
UUUACUGAUUCUACGCGUAUCGGUAUGCAAGGUGCGAAUGUCGAAGAUUAAUCGUGUAUUUUAUCCGUAUUAAAAAUGCAUAACAAGCGCGAAUUUCUUGUCGGGAGUGCCGAUCAAAGUGACGGGCGAUCACCGAAACGUAUUAUUUACCAAGAAUGUCCGCGAUUAACAUGUGUUUCGUUUGUCAUAACCAGCGUGAUAUCCAAUGCGUACCCGACAUAAAUCUGAUUGUCGGAAUUCAAUCGCGCAAACCAUUGUUGAGAUACCAUUGUUGUUUAUGUAUCCCUACUUAACGACCGUCAUAUGACCGCCAGUUCGUCUUACUAGUUCUGAAUGUUACAUCAGCAUGUUUACGCGAUACGAUAGAACGUGUUUCGUCUUUGUUUACGUUUCAUGUAUUGUAGUAUAGCAAAUUCGUGCGUAAAUCCGACAAGGUGAAAGUAAAGUGCGUGUUAGUGGCAACAAAUACGAGUUUUCGUGUCAUUUCGUCGAUGAAGCUCAUCGCCGAUGGAACGGAACGGUCUGUGAUGGAAUCUACAGCAGCUGAAGCCGACUUCAAUGUUCUAGUUGGUACAGCUGAAUUACAGGAAUUUUACAGGUACAGCUGAAUUACAGGAAUUUUACAGGUACAGCCGUAUUUAGCUAGGGUACAACGAUCGGUGAGUGAAUUAAUUUUUUAUACUUGCAUGGUUACACAGGUGUCAUUUGCUGUUUAUUUGUUCACCAAUAUUUAAUAUGCAACUGCUAUAAAUAACACUUUGACAAUAAUAUUCUUGUCUGCGAUUUAUGUUUUUACAAAAAAUACUGAAAUAUGAAAUUACAUUCUCUAUUUUAACACUAAAAAAGUUCAAAUUUUAU